Long non-coding RNA from Beta vulgaris subsp. vulgaris (sugar beet), 4583 nucleotides. RefSeq lists it as uncharacterized. The record is from RefSeq and is a predicted model, not a curated record. NCBI's taxonomy places the organism in Eukaryota, Viridiplantae, Streptophyta, Magnoliopsida, Caryophyllales, Amaranthaceae. The transcript has 3 exons.
UUCCGUCUCGACAACCUACUGGAGUCGGGAGGCAAGGAGGACAGAGAAACACAUGCUCCGAUUCUGAGUUACUCACUGCAAUAUUAUUAAUUAAACACACAAAUACACACAAUGUAUACGUGUACGUACAUGAAUCAUAUGAUGAUAUCAUAAUGAGUCUUAACACAUGAUACACGCUCAUAGAAUAAGUUUAGAGUUUUCCAUAUGCAUUAUGUACUAAAGAUGUCUAUUGCUUCCGAUGCAUAUUGCAUGCAUGCCUUAGCUUCUCUGCUGCAUCAUUGAUAAUAAUGUUUGUUUAGUUCGUACAUGAGUAAAUAUUAGGAAACAGAAACACCAAAGAUGGCAGAACCAAAAAACACUAAUCCAAGCUCAAUUAUGUUUCAUUCUUGUUACUCUCUUCACUCUUUAUAUGCCCUCUUUUUCUCAUUCUUCUGUAAGCAACCCUUCUAUUGAUCGACCCGACUGCGAUCACUUGUAUUUGGGAGAAAUUGAGGAUCCCACUUUAUAAGGGGAAAAAAUCGAACCCUGGCUACAAGGGUAGGAGGAGGUUCUCCAACCAUGCAUGUAUCUAGCACAGACAAACACUAGUCUUGUGCUUGUGUUGUGCGUGGUCCACCAAACUCAAUAGAUAUGUGCUUCGGACCGACCUGAUCAGUGCCAUAUUUACCUAUGCUGAGCAUAUUUGAUAAUGGCUCAGUUGGUAUAUGUAACGCUUAUGCAAAUGUAUUUUGAAGAGGAAAAGAGUAAAAUAGGCUUCGAUCUAUGUGUGGUUGGUAUUUGAAGAGCUUGCAUUUUGUUUCAUAUUACCUACUCGCAUACUCUUUGCAGAUUGUAGCCUCAUACAACACAGCACCAAGAAAAACCAAGACCAGCUAGCCUUCUCUUGACCUAAGCAUGUUUCUUAAUUUCUGGCCAUCCUUCUUAUGGACAGAGCUAAAAGGGAUGAUUAUCGAGGCCGAUCCGAGUAAGAUACUUAAUUCAUAUUAUCUACUUGCUAGUUGCUACAUAUUUUUAUCUAUAAAGUGCAAUAGUUUCCAGUAAUUUGCUCUAACAUACACUGGGCAAGGUGUUUUGGGACACGUCCAUAUCUGUAUUUUUUCUAUUCAAAUUUCAAUGUUAUGUAUGUUCAUACUUUUUUGUCUAAACUUCAAUGCGACAAGGUUCCCUAUAGGAUUUUACCAGGAAUUUGUUGAGAUUUGUGAGUAUCUUUUGUAUGAGCUAUAUCUUCUUAUGUCAUUGUUAAGCCUAAACUGGUUGAAUAUUUCAUCUUCGAAGUAGUAGCUUCGACUUUCGAUGAACACACCCACAGACCCGUAGCCUUGUUGUUCUUUGGUCUUAAAAACAAGCAACCUUUUGUGACUUGUAGUAGAAGUGUUAAUAACUAACACAACGACUAACAACUCUAAUUAGAACCCUAUGCAAAGUAAGCGGCUUCAGAUUAAGGUUUGCAACCAUUCAAGUAAGUUGACUUGACACGACCCAUGUAUUAAAUGUGUUAGGUUAGAGUUGAGCUACCAAACACAACCCGGCACGACAACCCGUUUACUUGCUAAAGCAUUGUUGUGUAUCAUUACUGUAGCUUGUAGUAAUUUAAAGUUUUUUAUUUUUAUUUUCGUGUAAGUUCUGUGUUUCGCUUGUUGUAUAUUGUUUGUUCGCACCUCAUUUUUCGUACAUUGUGUGGGUUAAUUCAGAUAUCAAACUAAUUUGUGUGAUUUAUAUGUGUGUGUUUGAUAGAUGAUAUAAUAAAAGGGUUAGUUCAUGGUUGAGAGCUGCCAACUUGUUUAAUUAAGAGUUGGUUAGAAUCAGGAUAAGUUAACUCAUUAACCUAUAAAGCCAACCCAAAAUUGACCCGACCCGACCCAAUUGCUAGCUUAGGUAACCUCAAAUCAAUGUCUUUGUCUCUUGUUUGUUGAACCCUUCGAAAAGGCUUGGACAAUAUAACACCACUCAAACCCACAUCAAACCAUCACAAAUUUUAUCAUCUUCCUCCACCUGUAAAGCAUGCCUCCAUUAUACAUCCAAACUCAAAAUGGGUAAAGCUCAAGGCAAAAGACGCCAUUAAGCUCAAUUCUCAUUAAGGCGCGAGACUUGGUAAUGUACCAUGCCCAUACCGAGUAUCAAGUCAAACAUCACUGUCUUCCGAGAAUAAUAGAAGACAAAGAAGCUCACUAGACUACAGGCAUCAAUAUUUACACAAUAACUAACAUAUUAUGCCUCUAUUAGACUAUCACAACACAGAGUGAUUAUAUGGCAACGUACAUAGCGAUGAGUUAAGAAAUAGAAGCUCAUACAAAGUGUACUCAAUAGAUUCCGGGUAUAAUCCUGUAGGGAACCUUGUCACAGUAUAGUUUCCAGUACUUGCCAUACCUGCAAGUGUCACAAGAUUCAUUUUAAAACGUAAGGUGAAAAUAACUUUAGAAUUGGAAUAGGGGAAAUAGGAAUUCAAAUUUAACAAUAUGUUGAUAGAUGAUCCAAAAUACCACGCCAAGAAAUAUGCAUGUAGUGUUUCUUUUCAGUUGUAGCAAUCAAGAAAUUUAUAAAUCAUAAAAAUAUGGCAGGCACACAGUACGAAUUGUCUUACUUUGAUCGGCAUCGGUCAUCAUCCCUUUUAGCACGGUCCACAAGAAGAAUAGUGAGAAAUAUCACGUAGAAGUAUGGCAAAAACUGCAGAAAGAAAGCACAAUACAACAUACAUAUUGGUUAAUGGAAGGAUAAACACAAAUUACCCUCACUCAUAUGAAUUUUACAUCUCCAUCAAACCGUUGUACCAAUAACGUACUAUUUCUGUAGAAUUUAUAUUUUACAUCUCCAUCAAACCAUUGUACCAAUGCCGUACUAUUUCUGUAGAAUUUAUAUUUUACAUCUCCAUCAUACCAUGAUACCAAUGUAGUACUAUUUCUUUAGGAUCCUUCAUUAGUGUUACCAAAAAAGGUAAUAUGGGAACAUACAAAGUUAACACGCUAAAUAUAGAUCGUGGCCUACUAUUAUGGUACAAUAAGAAUCUGUUGUCCCACAUUUGUGUCUUGAUCUAGAGUCCCAAAUAGUUCACAUCUUAGCCACCCCACUCACUUAUAUUAAGGUAGCUAAAUUUUCAUUUGACAAGAUGGCAAAGUUGGAAAGAAGUGGGACACCAAAUGAGCCACUAAAUGGGAUGGGAAUAAUCUUGGGAUACACAAGUCCUUAUAGAGUUUAUAAAAAAAGUUACUUACAUGAUCAAAAAGUGCAGGAAGUGACCAGAAAAAAGCGGCUAAAAUUUCUGGGACAUAAUGGAAAUGUCGAGAUAAACCCCACCUGUGAAUAAAAACAGAUAUAUAAAGGCACAUUAUUAUUUGUAACAAUGACUUAAUGUUAAAGGACAUAAAAAAGGUACAAAUCAGUCUCGAAAUAAAGAGACUUGCCAAACUCAUUCUUUUUGCAGAGCAAGUCAAUGUUGAUACUUCUGCAGAAAGUAAAGAAGCACAAAAUUUAACAAAGUGACUGCGAACAGAAAACCCACCAUCCUGAGGUCAACAGAAGACUAGUCUUGGUUUCUCCUGAUGUCGUAGUGUAUGAGGCCAGAAUCUGCAAGAGUAUUCAACUGCUUAAGCAUCAUAGUGUCCGAGCAUACUAAGGAAAAAGGAGACUUCCGAGACUAGAACCAGGGGAAAGGAAAAAAGAAGAAGAAAAAAUGAAGGUAAAAGGUGUACCUUUGAAGGAGCUUUCCCCCAAACCAAGCCUUUGCCAUUAGUUCUACGAAACUCUUGUCUCUGCCUGUCGCAGUCGUAAUUGAUAAAGAUGCACAAAAUACCCGCCACCAGAAUAUAAACCGAAAGCUGAAACACAAGAAAAAAAAUAUUGUAAGGAACAUAUAUUGUCUGCUUUUCUCUAAUGAUGAGCUAACAAGUAACAAUGCACUAAAUCUAGAAUACUUCUCAAUGACAAAGUUACCUGAAUUCCAAGAUGAACAGGGUGGUUGACUAGAUACAUGCCUGGAGAAGUAUACACCGAAGGGACCCACACCAAGCAUCCCCAGCAAAUGUAGAACCCGGCUGCCAGAGUCACAUUUGCAGCAGUAAAAAACAGAUUGAGCAUCACAGAGAUGACAGGCAAGUGGAGUGUGCAACCCACUUUGAAAAAUCUUCUCAAGUUACCCACGGGCCACGACAGAACUUGUGUGGCGGAAAAUCCGAAGCUUGUACAAAAACCACUGAGGCAGUCACACUCAUCCAAACAUUACUCGAAAGAUAAUUAUCCCAAAGAUUGGAUUCGAACCUUAGGCAAUGCUUUGAAACUUGGGAUGGUAUUCCAUUAAGCUACCAUCUCUCUCUGGACACUAAUCUUAUUAUAGUAAGAGAGAGGUGAUAACUUAGUGGAAUACCUCCCCAAAUUUCGGUGCAUUGUCCAGGGUUCGAAUUUUUAUCUCAACAAUAUGCUGGGGUAUUUAUUUUUGGGUUGUUUAGCCUUGUACUUAGGCUAUGUUCAGUUCACCUGAAAUUUUCUAAUCUGAACUUAUCUGAACUUAUUUUUUCUGAUCUGAUCUGAUCUGAACUUAUUUUUUCAACAAGAUCUUAUCUUUUAUAAAAUAUAUUAUUACUAUUAUAUUA